CCUACGGGAGGCUGCAGUGGGGAAUAUUGGGCAAUGGGCGCAAGCCUGACCCAGCAAUGCCGCGUGAAGGAAGAAGGCCUUAGGAUUGUAAAAUUCUGUUCUAUGGGAAGAAAAAAAUGACGGUACCUUAGGAGUAAGCCCCGGCUAACUACGUGCCAGCAGCCGCGGUAAUACGUAGGGGGCGAGCGUUGUCCGGAAUUACUGGGCGUAAAGGGCGCGUAGGCGGCACUACAAGUCUCAUGUGAAAUAUCCGGGCUUAACCUAGAGGUUGCAUGUGAAACUGUAGUGCUUGAGUACAGGAGAGGCAAGCGGAAUUCCGAGUGUAGCGGUGAAAUGCGUAGAUAUAAGGAGGAACACCAGUGGCGAAGGCGGAUUGCUGGACUGUAACUGACGCUGAGGCUCGAAAGCGUGGGGAGCAAACAGGAUUAGAUACCCGGGUAGUC
RNAcentral lists this ribosomal RNA (443 nucleotides) under uncultured bacterium. RNAcentral's name for it is "partial 16S ribosomal RNA". It matches the Rfam family "Bacterial small subunit ribosomal RNA", at positions 338 to 795 of the family's 1533-position model. The record is from RNAcentral.